UACGUAGGGUGCAAGCGUUGUCCGGAAUUAUUGGGCGUAAAGAGCUCGUAGGCGGUUUGUCGCGUCUGCUGUGAAAACUCGGGGCUUAACCCCGGGCCUGCAGUGGGUACGGGCAGACUAGAGUGCGGUAGGGGAGACUGGAAUUCCUGGUGUAGCGGUGAAAUGCGCAGAUAUCAGGAGGAACACCAGUGGCGAAGGCGGGUCUCUGGGCCGUAACUGACGCUGAGGAGCGAAAGCGUGGGGAGCGAACAGG
RNAcentral lists this ribosomal RNA (253 nucleotides) under uncultured bacterium. RNAcentral's name for it is "partial 16S ribosomal RNA". It matches the Rfam family "Bacterial small subunit ribosomal RNA", at positions 524 to 776 of the family's 1533-position model. The record is from RNAcentral.